RNAcentral lists this microRNA (22 nucleotides) under Platynereis dumerilii (Dumeril's clam worm). RNAcentral describes it as "Pdu-Mir-1993_3p (mature (guide))". RNAcentral also lists the same sequence under 6 other names. The record is from RNAcentral. Lineage: Eukaryota; Metazoa; Annelida; Polychaeta; Phyllodocida; Nereididae.
UAUUAUGCUGUUAUUCACGAGA